ACCGAAAUGUUGCUACUAUCUGAAAGCGUUUGUUGAUGUUGAUCAGUUGAACGUGGUUUUCAGUGGUUUUAACCGGUUUUACUACGUUUUAUUAUUCAUUUCCAGCAAGUUAUUGUCAAUCAUGUCGGGUAGAGAAGGUGGCAAAAAGAAACCUCUAAAACAGCCAAAGAAGAAUAAAGGGGAGAUGGAUGAGGAUGAAAUGGAGUUCAAACAGAAGCAAAGAGAGCAGCAAAAAGCUUUAGAAGCAGCCAAGGCAAAAGCAGGACAAAAAGGUCCUUUGGGUGGUGGUGGGAUAAAGAAAUCUGGCAAGAAGUGAUCUUCAUCCACAAAAUGCACCUUCAAUUUGACCUCGAUGAUUUUUUAUUUUUUUAUUGGAAGUUUUGGCAAUGGCAUUGGAGAAAUUGAACUGUGCUUCAUUGAACUUGUACCUAAAAUUC
Molecule: long non-coding RNA, 437 nt
Organism: Ruditapes philippinarum (Manila clam)
Lineage: Eukaryota; Metazoa; Mollusca; Bivalvia; Venerida; Veneridae
Exons: 4
Source: RefSeq, a predicted model, not a curated record